This 465-nucleotide ribosomal RNA is filed under the name uncultured bacterium. RNAcentral's name for it is "partial 16S ribosomal RNA". It matches the Rfam family "Bacterial small subunit ribosomal RNA", at positions 339 to 795 of the family's 1533-position model. The record is from RNAcentral.
CUACGGGUUGCUGCAGUGGGGAAUAUUGGACAAUGGGGGAAACCCUGAUCCAGCAAUGCCGCGUGUGUGAAGAAGGCCUGCGGGUUGUAAAGCACUUUCGGUUGGGAGGACUGCUUCUAGCACUAAUAUUGUUGGAAGUUGACGUUACCUUCAGAAGAAGCACCGGCUAACUCCGUGCCAGCAGCCGCGGUAAUACGGAGGGUGCAAGUGUUAAUCGGAAUUACUGGGCGUAAAGCGCGCGUAGGCGGCUAGAUCAGUCGGGUGUGAAAGCCCCGGGCUUAACCUGGGAACUGCAUCCGAUACUGUCUAGCUUGAGUACAGGAGAGGAGAGUGGAAUUCCACAUGUAGCGGUGAAAUGCGUAGAUAUGUGGAGGAACACCAAUGGCGAAGGCAGCUCUCUGGCCUGAUACUGACGCUGAGGUGCGAAAGCGUGGGGAGCAAACAGGAUUAGAUACCCUUGUAGUC